Molecule: long non-coding RNA, 1373 nt
Filed under: Numida meleagris (helmeted guineafowl)
Lineage: Eukaryota; Metazoa; Chordata; Aves; Galliformes; Numididae
Description: lncRNA (ENSNMEG00000005478.1)
Source: RNAcentral
AUACUUUCUGGAUUUAUCCUGAACAAGAAGUGGAAUUGUUGAGUUAAUGCCCAGAAGUGGCUCUUCUGCCCUGAGCUACACCUGCCAGCCCAGAAGGCCGUCACACACGAUUCCCAGCUCUGCAGGCAGCGGCGUGGGAAGGCCUGGGGGCCGGGCUGCGGGCAUGGUGCUGAGCAGCUCAUCGCCGCCUGUCUUUGGAAUCUACCAUCUCAAGGUCUGCAACGUAAGCGUUUAUAAAUUAAAUAAAUUAGUAGAUAAGCACUUGCACAAACGGUUGAUAAAUAACUGCGGGCUGCGUACACAUGCAUUGCACUCACGUGAGUGCCCGGUGCCAGAGACACACCAGCAUCUCCUGGUGCUGCGGAGAGCCUGAGCCAGCGCUGAGUUAUCUGCUCCUCGUUCUGGUGGGGUAUUGCUGGAGCAUAAAGAUAAUAAUUAAAGUGUCACUUUUUUAGUUGCAUUUCUUAUGGAGAUCUGCUCUGUGUUUUAUAAGUUGUAUUUAGCUCCAGUGGUGCCAGCAGACAGAAUUAAUUGUGUGAGAAGACGUAGGGGCAGCUCCUGCUCCCAGCACAGCCCCGCGCAGGCAGGCUCUGGUCCCGCUGGCUCGUGCCUUCCUGUGCAAGCCUUUGGGACAGGCAAAGUCACAUGGAUAAAGAGCACCAGCUCUUGUGUUGGACCUGGCACACUGGGGGAUGUUGCUGUGAAUGUGGUGCAUCACAACAUGAAGGGAUGAGAAACCUGCAGGCUCCCACUGCUGCAGCGCUCGCUGGUGGCCGCAAGCUCAGCUGUGCUGCAGUGUCCUGGUGUCCAGUGUCUGGCAGUGCCACAGCUGUUACUUAAAGGCUCAUCCCUCUGCCACUGGGGCGGAGGGGCAGGGCAGAGUGGGACCUCUCCCUGAGGUGCCUGGGAGCUGCGUGGCCUGAAUGAAAAGCUUCUCUCUGCAAUGGGCAGAGCAAAGGUUGCUGCAGGCAAAGGAGCGCUUCCGCAGAAUCGGUCCCCAGCAGUUCUUAGCACUGACAGGAGGGUGUGCGUGGGCAGAGCAGGCUCGCGGUAGCACAGGCCUGCGUGUAACACUUGUUGUACUUGUCCUUUAGGAAGAGAUGCUCCCCUAAGGCUGUGCCUUUGGUGGCACUCCAGUGUAGGACACGGAUACAUCCUUCAGUUACAUCGAUUCCCUGGUCUGGUGCAGCUGAGGAAUGUGGUGUGGUGAAAUGAGGGAGGGUGAGGUGUUUUGUAGCAUGGAGGCAAAAAGGGAACACUUUGCUUUGCUCCUGGGUGCUUGAUGUGAUGAACCCACCCACAGAGACGUGCUCGGUCAGCUGUAAUCCAGAUCGGCGCACUUGCCCCCCAAAGAACUUCACUUAUGUGAUGAG